GAUUCCCCUAGUAACUGCGAGUGAAGCGGGAAAAGCUCAAAUUUAAAAUCUGGCGGUCUUUUGGCUGUCCGAGUUGUAAUCUAGAGAAGUGUUAUCCGCGCUGGACCGUGUACAAGUCUCCUGGAAUGGAGCAUCAUAGAGGGUGAGAAUCCCGUCUUUGACAUGGACUGCCAGGGCUUUUGUGAUGCGCUCUCAAAGAGUCGAGUUGUUUGGGAAUGCAGCUCAAAAUGGGUGGUAAAUUCCAUCUAAAGCUAAAUAUUGGCGAGAGACCGAUAGCGAACAAGUACCGUGAGGGAAAGAUGAAAAGAACUUUGGAAAGAGAGUUAAACAGUACGUGAAAUUGCUGAAAGGGAAACGCUUGAAGUCAGUCGCGUCGUCCAGGGAUCAACCUUGCUUUUGCUUGGUGCACUUUCUGGUUUGACGGGUCAGCAUCAAUUUUGACCAUUGGAAAAAGAUCAAGGGAAUGUGGCAUCUUUGGAUGUGUUUAUAGCCCUUGGUCACAUACAAUGGUUCGGGAUUGAGGAACUCAGCAUGCCGCAAGGCCGGGUGUUUACACCACGUACGUGCUUAGGAUGUUGACAUAUAUAAUGGCUUUAAUCGACCCGUCUUGAAACACGGACCAAGGAGUCUAACAUGCCUGCGAGUGUUUGGGUGGAAAACCCGAGCGCGUAAUGAAAGUGAAAAGUUGAGAUCCCUGUCGUGGGGAGCAUCGACGCCCGGAUCAGACCUUUUGUGACGGUUCC
RNAcentral lists this ribosomal RNA (743 nucleotides) under Cortinarius armillatus. RNAcentral describes it as "LSU rRNA". It matches the Rfam family "Eukaryotic large subunit ribosomal RNA", at positions 73 to 791 of the family's 3401-position model. The record is from RNAcentral. Lineage: Eukaryota; Fungi; Basidiomycota; Agaricomycetes; Agaricales; Cortinariaceae.